RNAcentral lists this ribosomal RNA (465 nucleotides) under uncultured bacterium. Its description in RNAcentral is "partial 16S ribosomal RNA". It matches the Rfam family "Bacterial small subunit ribosomal RNA", at positions 339 to 795 of the family's 1533-position model. The record is from RNAcentral.
CUACGGGCGGCUGCAGUCGAGAAUCUUUAGCAAUGGGCGAAAGCCUGACUAUGCGACGCCGCGUGAGCGAUGAAGGCCUUCGGGUCGUAAAGCUCUGUCGCACCGGAUGAAUGUUUAGUAUUUGAAUAAGGUACUGGAUUGACAGUACGGUGAGAGGAAGCCACGGCUAACUCCGUGCCAGCAGCCGCGGUAAUACGGAGGUGGCAAGCGUUGUUCGGAUUUAUUGGGUGUAAAGGGUGUGUAGGUGUCCCGAUAAGUCGGGUGUGAAAUCCUUCAGCUUAACUGAAGAAUUGCGCCCGAAACUGACGGGAUUGAGUGCAUAAGAGGAGAGGGGAAUUCUUGGUGUAAGGGUGAAAUCUGUAGAUAUCGAGAAGAACACCGGUGGCGAAGGCGCCUCUCUGGUAUGUAACUGACACUGAGACACGAAAGCGUGGGGAGCAAACAGGAUUAGAUACCCUGGUAGUC